GACGUAGGGCGCGAGCGUUGUCCGGAUUUAUUGGGCGUAAAGAGCUCGUAGGCGGCUUGUCGCGUCGACUGUGAAAACCCACGGCUCAACUGUGGGCUUGCAGUCGAUACGGGCAGGCUAGAGUUCGGUAGGGGAGACUGGAAUUCCUGGUGUAGCGGUGAAAUGCGCAGAUAUCAGGAAGAACACCAAUGGCGAAGGCAGCUCACUGGGACGGUACUGACGCUGAGACGCGAAAGCGUGGGGAGCAAACAGG
RNAcentral lists this ribosomal RNA (253 nucleotides) under uncultured bacterium. Its description in RNAcentral is "partial 16S ribosomal RNA". It matches the Rfam family "Bacterial small subunit ribosomal RNA", at positions 524 to 776 of the family's 1533-position model. The record is from RNAcentral.